UACGUAGGUAGCAAGCGUUGUCCGGAAUUAUUGGGCGUAAAGCGCGCGCAGGCGGUCCUUUAAGUCUGAUGUGAAAGCCCUCGGCUCAACCGAGGAGGGUCAUUGGAAACUGGAGGACUUGAGUGCAGAAGAGGAAAGUGGAAUUCCAAGUGUAGCGGUGAAAUGCGUAGAGAUUUGGAGGAACACCAGUGGCGAAGGCGACUUUCUGGUCUGUAACUGACGCUGAGGCGCGAAAGCGUGGGGAGCAAACAGG
Molecule: ribosomal RNA, 253 nt
Filed under: uncultured bacterium
Lineage: Bacteria
Description: partial 16S ribosomal RNA
Rfam family: Bacterial small subunit ribosomal RNA
Source: RNAcentral